This 409-nucleotide ribosomal RNA is filed under the name Escherichia coli. Its description in RNAcentral is "partial 23S ribosomal RNA". It matches the Rfam family "Bacterial large subunit ribosomal RNA", at positions 418 to 830 of the family's 2925-position model. The record is from RNAcentral. Lineage: Bacteria; Pseudomonadati; Pseudomonadota; Gammaproteobacteria; Enterobacterales; Enterobacteriaceae.
CGGGACACGUGGUAUCCUGUCUGAAUAUGGGGGGACCAUCCUCCAAGGCUAAAUACUCCUGACUGACCGAUAGUGAACCAGUACCGUGAGGGAAAGGCGAAAAGAACCCCGGCGAGGGGAGUGAAAAAGAACCUGAAACCGUGUACGUACAAGCAGUGGGAGCCUCUUAAUGGGGUGACUGCGUACCUUUUGUAUAAUGGGUCAGCGACUUAUAUUCUGUAGCAAGGUUAACCGAAUAGGGGAGCCGAAGGGAAACCGAGUCUUAACUGGGCGUUAAGUUGCAGGGUAUAGACCCGAAACCCGGUGAUCUAGCCAUGGGCAGGUUGAAGGUUGGGUAACACUAACUGGAGGACCGAACCGACUAAUGUUGAAAAAUUAGCGGAUGACUUGUGGCUGGGGGUGAAAGGCC